Molecule: ribosomal RNA, 250 nt
Filed under: uncultured bacterium
Lineage: Bacteria
Description: partial 16S ribosomal RNA
Rfam family: Bacterial small subunit ribosomal RNA
Source: RNAcentral
UACGGAGGGUGCAAGCGUUAUCCGGAAUCACUGGGUUUAAAGGGUGCGUAGGCGGUCUUGUAAGUCAGUCGUGAAAUCGCUGGGCUCAACCCAUGCAAUUGCGAUUGAUACUGCGAGACUUGAAUUGGGUUAAGGCAGGCGGAAUGUGGCAUGUAGCGGUGAAAUGCAUAGAUAUGCCAUAGAACACCGAUUGCGAAGGCAGCCUGCUGGGCCUUUAUUGACGCUGAGGCACGAAAGCGUGGGGAGCAAA